Molecule: non-coding RNA, 7840 nt
Organism: Pelobates cultripes (western spadefoot toad)
Lineage: Eukaryota; Metazoa; Chordata; Amphibia; Anura; Pelobatidae
Source: the annotation of a GenBank genome assembly
GAACUCUGUGCCUUGCCUGCCAGGUGUAGCUGUCAGAGCUCUGGGCAGUCAGUCUGCUGGAGGCUGGGGUCCAGGGAAGUCACAUUGCUGCUGCUGCCUGCACCAUGUCCUUCUGCUCCUUUUUUGGUGGGGAGGUUUAUAAAGACCACUUCAAGCCUGGUAAUUAAUCUAAAUGAACACUUAUUAACAAUGGCAAGUCUGACACUCUUACUGCUGUGCAUUCUAACUCCUAUUAUCCUUAAAGCCUGAUGUGAGUGGUAGUCCAUACAGCACCCUAGGGUGUCAUAGUUUAUUUAUCUGAGAGUUUAUUGGUUUGUUUCUUUUAAAAAAAUAUAUAUUUUUAUUUUAUUUUUUUAAUUUAAUUUUUUUUUUCUGCAGAGUGGAAGUGUUGUAAUCAUGGGAACUGAUACAAUGUUUCAGUUCCCAUCAUUUCUAAAUGACAUACACUGACUGUAGGCUAUAUGAGUAGAGCCAUAAUAGUUGGUUAUGGGACAAAAGUCUUCUUCAAAUUUUGGUUUAAAACCUGCUUUGAUUUCAAUCUCUGACUGUUUAGACUUUAGUGAUUAUGUCUGUCUUCUACUUGUGCUUUUCUAAACAUUUUUAAUGUUAGAAUUUAUCUAUCAGCAUAUGGCCUAAUAUGUAACAUGAAUAUAUCUGGAUAAAUACAGAAUCUGGUGUAUAAUCACUGCAAAAUGCCUGAGAAUUGCAUUUCAAUUCUGAUGAAAAGCUGAACGUGGAGAAAUAAUCACACAUUUUUCCCUCUGGUACACUUGUAUUUUUAUUAUUGAUACAUAACUUGCAUUGUCACAUGUUAGUACAGUGGUUCCCAAACUUUUUUUAGGUUAAAGGCUCCCUUAAUAUUUCAAUAAUUUUCCAAGGCGCCCAAAGUAAAAAAAUAUUUCUAGGUUGAAUACAUGUACAGCGCAGUGGCAUAUCCUGGGCCCCUGUAACAAUCCAGGCACAAUAACCAUUACAGCACGCGGUAGUAGUUAUGGUGCCAGGUGUGCUGUGGUGCCCUCCCACGGUAAGUAGUCAAACUGUUUAAGAACAGUUUGACAACUUAACUGUGGUCUGUCAGGAGGGGCAUUAGGGUUUGUGUACGGUGGUGCAGUGUGUGCGAUACAAUGUGUGCAUGAAGGGGUACAGUGUGUGAGGACAGAGUGUGUUUGAGGGGUGCAGUGUGUGUAUAGGGGAGAAUUAUUGUGGGUCUGUGGGGUUGGAGGGUGUGUGUGUGUGUGUGUGUGUGUGUGUGUGUGUGUGUGUGUGUGUGUAUAUAUAUAUAUAUAUAUAUAUAUAUAUAUAUAUAUAUAUAUAUAUAUAUAUAUAUAUAUAUAUAUAUAUAUAUAUAUAUACACACGAUUUUUUUUUUUUUUGAUAUCCCUCCUCUCUGCAAUUCAAUUUCUACCAGCCUCUCGAAGAAUAAUCCUGGGUUCACAAUGUUAAAAUCGUCUUUUUCUGGCAUUUGUCCCAGAUGUUUGACGUAUGUUUUUAUAUUUGGAUGCCAGUAUGUCCUGUUCCUAGUAUGUAAUAAACUUUGCAUGGGGCUUCUUUGAUAUCAGAGUUUACAAAGUGGACCUGAUAGCCCGGUAUACCUUUAAGAAAAACGAACAACUCAAAGGAUACCUGUGCCACACUAUUUCUUAGGCAAUUUGCAAUAUCCCGUGUGAAGGCAUUGUGGUUUGAAAAAGCCAAGUUUAAUUAUUAAAGGGAUGCUCCACUGCCCAAAUUAAAAAAAAUAAAAAAAAAAAUAAAAAAAAAAAAUCACUUUUAAUAGAUAUAUCGCUAAUGAAAUAAUUAGUCACAAAAGUCUUGUUUAAAAAUAAAUAAAAUAAUAAAUUCAGAGGCUACUGACUUGCACAUCUUAUGGUAUUUUGUUUAGAAGGCAAAUAAAUAAAAUAAUAAUAAUAAUAAUAAUAAAAAAAACUUUACAACCAAAACCAAACUAAUGUAUGCUUUUAAUUAUGCAUUUUCCAUUGGUGGUAUAUCUAAAACAGGAGUCUGGUCUGUCCCUUUAAAGCCUUGGGUCUUCAAUGGGAUCUAUCAAGCAGGAUAACACCUGGUACACUAUCUGGUAUUGUGGUACUUAAUGUUACAGGAGUUAAUAUAUUGCAUUGUAUUUGUCAAUACAAGAACAUGGCUUUAUUUACAGAACAGUGGGACAUACACAUAAUCUGGAAAAUAAUCCACAGCAACUAAUUACACAAAUUAUUAUUUUGUUUUCAAUAAAUGGUCCUGCAGUUUAAUGUGUAGCUUGCACCAAAAGCUUCCCCUGUGUUGUAAUAACCCUUUAUGUACGGUCUAUAGCAUGUUGUGUAACAUGAUCCUCUGCUGUUUCAUAACUUCUUCUAAAUGACUUCACAGGAUCUGUUAACAUUUCCCGAACGAGAAGUAAAAUGUAAUGUUUCAGAACAACUUAUUAGACCUUACUCCAUAAUUUAUAUAAUAAAUAAAUAAAAACACAUUCUCCAUAACUGGCUAAUUGGGGAAUAUCUUAUUUUGAAAGGCAAAACAGUAGACUACUAUACAUUUCAUUACUUAGUGCUAGCUGGGUAUUGAUGCCAGAGUAGGCAUUUGCCUGUUGAGGGAUAGAGGUGGGGGUGGGAUGUUAGUUGUAUAACUUCUGUAAAUAUAGUGAAUGUGUUAAUAAUUUAUGAUCAGUCUUCCCUUAUCCUGCUAUCACAAGCUAUAUUUGGUACAGUUUGCAAUGGGAUAUGUCUUAUUUUACUGCAACUCUGAACUCUAUUAUCUAUUAUUAUUAUGGUGGUGGCAGACUUGGUCCAAUGACAAGUCUGUUAAGUCUUUAGCCUGACUAAUCAUCAUGGGAAAUGCAAUAGUUCACAAACCUUGUCAGAGCUAUGUUCACCAGUAACUGAUGGGACUAGUGCUUAUUCUGUGAUUAGUUUUGAAAUGUGACUUUCUGGACUUGUUGAUAAAGUUGUGAACAAAAAAUAGUAUUAAAUGUGUGUAAAAAGGCAUCCUGUACUCAGAAUUGGUCUAAAAUGGAGACUCGUGGGCCACCAACAGGUCUGGCUUUAGCAAUGUCUGUUUUUGUACAGAACUGGGUAAUAUCUAAAUCUAGGACUCCUAACCUUUUAAUAUGCUGGAUACAAUCUGCUUUAGAAUAAUGGCUUUGAGUAGUGAUCUGUGCAUAUACAUAGAUGACAUGUGACUGAAAAAUUGGUUUUGUUUUUGCCCUUCUAGGAGUAUACGCAUGUGCCCAGUGUGGCUUUGAGCUGUUCUCCAGCCGUUCUAAAUUCGAGCAUUCCUCUCCUUGGCCGGCUUUCACAGAGACCAUCCAUGAUAACAGUCUAUCAAAGUACAAAGAACGGCCCAAUGCUUUUAAGGUAAGGCCUCCGGAAAUAUCUUCUGCUGUGGGUCACCAAAAGACUUUGCUACUACAUCUAAAAUGGCUAUUAAUGGAGUUAAAGUUUACUCUUAACCUUUCAUGUGGAUGGCUGUUUGAGGAGCUAUUUGCCAACUAGAGAAGUGUCCUAAAAAUAAUGUGUAGGGAAUUGCACUUCACCCAACCCAACAAAGCAAACCUAACCUGUCAGGAUAGGGGUAGGAAUGAAAACACACAAACUCAGGACACAACAAGGAAAAGACAAUUCAUAUGCCAAUCCUUAGAAUGGCCAGGCUAAAGGAGAACAGUCAGAGUAAUAGCCGAGCUCAUGGAUGGGAGAAACCUGGGUAAACAGAGACAGGCCAAGUCAAAGGAGUACAGAGGUCAGGAUAAAUGUUAAUCAAAGAAGCAGAGAAAUGUAAGAAUGCGCUACUGAGCUCACUAAAGCCACAACAAGGCAACUAUGGCUGGGACAGGGGAGCAUUUAUAGACAUGGGAUGUUUAUUAUUGGCUGAGUUGUUUUGGUGUGUGGGCUGCAAAAUAACUUAAUUGCAGGACCCACAACGUCAUUAGAAUGCACUGGAGUCGAUUCAGCAAGCGCGUCAUUUAAAUGCGGCUGCUCAUCUGGGUGCGUAUUUAAAGACGCGAACAAGCAAUGUGCGCCGCCGUAGAGAAUUUUAAUUUUAUGGAACAAUAAUGGUGCUUUAUAGCUCCUUUCAGUGUCCAUAGAUUUUUUUUUAUUUUUUUUUGCCAUCCUUCAUAUAAAAUAUUUUGACUCAACACUCUGUAUUUACCAUCCUUGAUAAUCACUGUGUUGAUACAAAAGGAUUCUACUGUGAUGGAUGGCACCAAACAAAUUGUAUCAAACACUGAAUAGAGGAGGGGUGCUCUACCGCUAGAGUUGACCUACUCAGACAUUUCUCUGAUUGCAGUCACUGUGUAACGAUCCUCUGUCUUCACAGAUCUCAUGUGGAAAAUGUGGAAAUGGAUUGGGGCAUGAGUUCUUAAAUGAUGGGCCAAAGAAGGGUCAAUCUCGUUUCUGAAUAUUCAGUAGCUCAUUGAAGUUUGUCCCGAAAGGUAAGACCUGCCUAUAUUUAAUCUAAAUUGAUCCGUUGUGUUCUUGAACUAUCUUCAAGUUUCUUCCUAUUUUUAUGGCUUUGUCUGAACUCCUUGACAUUGAUAGGGAUUAUUCAUUAAACAGCACAUAGCAUUAAAAGGAAAAACAGAACUACAAAAAUCCAGACUAACGUAAACUAGCCAAGUGAGUACAGCUGAGUUGGAGGAAUUUGUUCAGAUCAGCCUUUCAGACUUAAAUUUAGCAACUUGCUUUUUUUAGUUCUCUACGAUUCAGUGCCUAGUGAAUGGACCUAUGCUGUGUGUAAACCUGUCUAGGACAGUUGAAGGUUAAUCUUGCAGUGUGUGUGUAUAUAUAAUGGAUGAGGUGGAAUUUGUUCCUAAUUGUGAACUUUAGACCAGUUCUGUGGUAUCUUAAAUCAGCAUUUCUUCGAAUUCAGUCGCAAGUCCAGAAAAUGCAUACACUUCGGUCAUAAAAUGUGCUUGCUUGCAAACAUUUUCUGUUCCGAGAUACAAAUUUACCUGAUCGUAGCUUAAAGGGAUACUAUAGUGCCAGAUUGCAGCUAAAUAUAUCUUAGAACAGAUUAAUUAAAGGGACACUAUAGUCACCAGAACAACUACAGCUUAUUAAAUUUGUUCUGGUGAGUAGAUUUAUUACCGUCAGGCUUUUUGCUGUAAACUCUCUUUUUUCAGAGAAAAUGCAGUGUUUACAUUACAGCCUAGUGAUAACUUCACUGGCCACUCCUCAGAUGGCUGUUAGAGAUCCUUCCUGGGUCAUGGCUGCCUAAAAUGCAUCCAAACAUUCAGAGUCUCCACCCUCUGCAUGCAGACAUUGAUUCAAUUCAUCUCUAUGAGGAGAUGCUGAUUGGCCAGGGCUGUGUUUGAAUCAUGCUGACUCUGACCCUGAACUGCCUCUUUGUCAGUCUCAGCCAAUCCUAUGGGGAGCACUGUGAUUAGAUCAGGCUACCACUUCUGAUGAUGUCAGCAGACUAGAUGGUGGUUUUAACACUAUAGGGUCAGGAAUACAUGUUUGUGUUCCUGACCCUAUAGUGAUCCUUUAAAUACACAUUAGUUCAUUUAGCACUAUUUAAUUUGUCUCCCAUGUUAAGAUAAGUGUAGGACCCAUCGGUAUUGGAGUACUGUGGUGGGCUGAAAGGAACAAUAGUGUCAGGAAUACAUGUCUAUAGUUGUAAAAUACAGUUUAGGGUUCGGCGCUCCCUCUCUGUUUAGGUAAAAAAAAAUUUACACACCUUUCGUUCCAGUUUCAUGCCGGUCUCGUUGUCUGCUUUACCUCCUUGGCUGAGAUCAUCAAACGAUAGCAUUGGGAGGCUAUGGCGCAUUUGCGAUAAAAUGCUGCGCUGAUCAGUAUCACCUUGUAGAGAUGCAUUGAAUGACCCAGGAAGCACUUCUAGUUGCCAUCUGAGUGACUGAUGCUGGAGGUGUCCCUAGGGAGAAAUGUAAACACUGCCCUUUUCUCAAAAAAGGCAGUGUUUACAGAAAAAAAGCCUGCAGGGACUGACUAUACUCACCAGAACAACUACUUUAAGCUGUAGUUGUUCUGGUGACUAUAGUGUCCCUUUAACAUGAUGUGGCCAUAUGUUUGAAUGGAAUCCCCAUAUUUGUUUGCAUAAAGGUGAUAUUUAAGUAGCCUUGUAAAAUUUAAAACUGUAUGUUUGUUUAUGUGUGCUGUUCCUGAAUCUGUACUUUUUAUGAAUGUGGCAUAUCAUGGGGAUCAAAUUCACAUGAAAUCCUCCCGAAGUAGACUGGACCUUCCCUAGCACCCAUGAUCAUUCUAAACAGAAUUAAACUUUCCUGGAAUGUUAAUCCAUACAUUUUUUCUUCUUGUGACUCAGACAAAGUUGAUGGGCAAGUGAAGGAAUAAAGAGAAAAGAAUGUAAGGAUCUCCUGAAUCCUCUUUGUUUUCUGAUGCUGAAUGACUUGCCCUACGAUAAACCCUUCCUGGACGUCUGGGGUAACGAGGAAUACGCGUUGGACUGCAAUGUGGUUUUGGGAAAUCUGCUGAUACUGUAACACUCACACUUUAUAAUCUGACUGAAAUUAAUCCGCACAAUUUUAUCCACCUCCCCUUGGUAUCAUCACAAAUGGUUGCAACUCCUUGGCCAUACACCCCAGGACAGAAUGGACUUUCAUUUAAAGUGACCUUUUUCUGAUGGUUGGGUGCAAUUGAACUCAACAUUUUCUUAUCUCGGUAAACCGUUGCCGCUGUGGGGAAAGGUCCCACCGUCUGUAACUGAUCUGUCCUAAAACGGUUUAGAACAAUAUAACAUCUCAAAGUCUCCUUCAUCAAUAUCUUUCUGUUGACUGUGUGAUCUUAUGAUUUUGUUUGUCCUUAUGAGAUAAUGCAGCCAGUUGAAAGGUACUGACUAUAUUAAAGGCACUAUGCUUUAGCGUACCAUGCUGUUAUAGGCAACUGGGGUCUGGAUGUGAUCUGUUAAACGGUUGGACUGUUAUGAGUGCAAAUAUUCUGCCACAUACUAUGGUACUUUAAUAGCCAGAUUUUUCAAAACAUUGCUUACACCAAGCUAUAUCCUCUACCUUGUCUAUAUAUAUAUAUAUUGCAGCUCCACUUUCAACCCAUCUACAGAUUUAUACAAAUAUUUUUUUCAGCAAAAUUUAAUUUAUAUUUGUCAAAAAUAAUUUUUAGGGGUGAUUAAUAUAUUUUAUUACAUUAUUUUUGCAAAUCAGAGGACACAAUUUAUUCAGGGGAUACAAUAGAUUAUAUUGGUAUUUAAUUGGUUAAAACCAAACUAUCCAGUUCAUUUUUGUCUUUUUAUAUUUCUUAGUAUUCCCCCUCCCAAGUACAGAAAGGAAUGCUCCCUCCGAUCACCUGUACCCCCUAGUUAGCUUGAUCUCAUUGCUAACUCACUACCUGUUAACAUGAUUGUAGGAUAUCUCCCUGAAUCUCUUUCAAGUCCUAGAAUGUACAAAGACCAUUAAACUAGUGUGGCUGGAAAGGCCGUGUAGAAACCUCUUUACAUAUAGGAUAGAAUUUGUGUGGAAGGACGUCAGUGGAGGCUGGACCGUAGGGGCAGGUGAGGUGGUAAAUCAAAGGAGGAAAGGUUUGAUGUGACACAAAAUGUGUCCAUCUCCUGUAUUAGGAAAAAGGUUCUACCUCUUAUAUUAAAACAUUUACUGGUUUGAGAUGGAUAGAAACUAACUUUAGUUACAUUAUUAGGCAAUCUUCAUUGUGGGUUUUGACAGUGGUAUUAAAUGAAGGUAACUGUAGAGGCGUCUAUGAUUUCAGUUGUAUGCUGCCACUCUUAAACAUUUCAGGAACUUAAUGGUUUGGUGCCUCUGCAGGAAUUAAUUGUUUUAAUCACAAAACAUGACUCUCAUUGCUUCUUGUGUAUUAAAGUCAUUUUUAAAAAAUCUCUAAUAAAGCACAACUUGAUCUUAUGAAAA